Molecule: transfer RNA, 88 nt
Filed under: Nitrospira sp.
Lineage: Bacteria; Pseudomonadati; Nitrospirota; Nitrospiria; Nitrospirales; Nitrospiraceae
Description: tRNA-Leu
Rfam family: tRNA
About the family: Transfer RNA (tRNA) molecules are approximately 80 nucleotides in length. Their secondary structure includes four short double-helical elements and three loops (D, anti-codon, and T loops). Further hydrogen bonds mediate the characteristic L-shaped molecular structure. tRNAs have two regions of fundamental functional importance: the anti-codon, which is responsible for specific mRNA codon recognition, and the 3' end, to which the tRNAs corresponding amino acid is attached (by aminoacyl-tRNA synthetases). tRNAs cope with the degeneracy of the genetic code in two manners: having more than one tRNA (with a specific anti-codon) for a particular amino acid; and 'wobble' base-pairing, i.e. permitting non-standard base-pairing at the 3rd anti-codon position.
Source: RNAcentral
GCCGGAGUGGCGGAAUUGGUAGACGCAAGGGACUUAAAAUCCCUCGUCCCUAAAGGGCGUACCGGUUCGAGUCCGGUCUCCGGCACCA